This 592-nucleotide long non-coding RNA is filed under the name Homo sapiens (human). RNAcentral describes it as "long non-coding RNA NONHSAT185470.1". The record is from RNAcentral. Lineage: Eukaryota; Metazoa; Chordata; Mammalia; Primates; Hominidae.
UGUGUGGGAUGACGAGGAAAGCCCAUGUGAAGCGACUGUCUCCUGCCUGUUUAUUGAGGGCUCCGGAGUGCUCUUCAAAACCAUCUUCCUGCCCUUUUCGGCAGACAGCAGCAUCUCAGGGAUGCCUUUGCCUCCCAGAGGGGCCGGAGGUGGGCAGGGAACAGAAACCUCAAAGAGUCCUGCAGCUCUCUCAGCGAGAAGCCGCCACAGCCCUUCUCGAGGCGUGCGCCCGAAAUGCACUUCUUCUAGCUGGAGGCCAAAGAGGCGAGGCACCGCGACUCACACCUGUAAUCCUAGCACUGUGGGAGGCCAAGGUGGGCGGAUCACCUGAGAUCAGAAGUUGGAAACCAGCCCGGCCAACAUGGUAAAACCCCAUCUCUAAUAGAAAUACAAAAAUUAGCCAGAAAUCACUUGAACCCAGAAAGCAGACAUCGCAGCGAGCCGAGAUUGUGCCACUGCACUCCAGCCUGGGAACGUCUGACGAUGGGAACGUUGAUCUUAAUCAUGCCAGGUGAAAAGCUUGAGGAGCCGUGCGCACAGCAGGUGAAAUGAUCAUCAAAGAAUGGGCUGCGGCAGGCUGGACGGUAACGAA